This 240-nucleotide unclassified non-coding RNA is filed under the name soil metagenome. Its description in RNAcentral is "partial contains 5.8S ribosomal RNA, internal transcribed spacer 2, and large subunit ribosomal RNA". The record is from RNAcentral.
AACCUAGCACACCUGCGGUGUGUACCUGCGGAGGGAUCAUUAAUGAAUAAACUUGGUCGAGCUGUUGCUGAUCCCUCGGGAUAUGUGCACGCUUGCCACCAAUUUUAACCACCUGUGCACUUUCUGUAGACUGGAAAACGAUGCUCGAGGCAACUCGGAUUGGGAACUGCUGCGCGAAAGCCGGCUGCUCCUGUGUUUUCUCAGUCUAUGUUUUUAUAUACUCCGAAUGUACGUAUAAGA